Molecule: long non-coding RNA, 506 nt
Filed under: Nicotiana benthamiana
Lineage: Eukaryota; Viridiplantae; Streptophyta; Magnoliopsida; Solanales; Solanaceae
Description: long non-coding RNA (NBEN_LNC014875)
Source: RNAcentral
AAAGAAGGCACCCUCCACUGUUUGUCUGGGUUCACGAAGACCUCCCCCAGUUCACUUUCUCCUUCUUUUCCAAUCCAUCAUCUCAAAACAAAAAAUUCCCUCAAAAUUCACCACAUACACACACACACGAAAAUACACAAAAAUUAGAAACUUAACAAUGAAAAAUUGCUUCCAAAUCUGAAAUAUAAUGGUUUAAAAAAUAAAAGAAAGAGAAGAGAAUAAAGAGAAAUCUAUGAAUGAUGUGGUUUAAGUUGUUGCUUCGUUCACUAUGGCUGCUGCUUUCAUCGUGUAGAAUGGUGGCUUUUGUUCGGCUCUUCACUUUUGUAGAUUAGCUCAUAUGUGUUCAUUGUUUAAAGAGGAGUCCGACUCAAAUCGAUGUUCGAUUAUCUGUGCUUUUGCUCUCGCUUGUCUGCUGGUGUUGCUUGUUGAAAUUCUGGGAUCCAUAUCCGUGUAUUUGUUGAUUAAAUGCUAGAAUUUUAAUGAAAAGAUUGGGUAUAGAGAAAACU